RNAcentral lists this ribosomal RNA (510 nucleotides) under Amycolatopsis thailandensis. Its description in RNAcentral is "bacterial SSU rRNA". It matches the Rfam family "Bacterial small subunit ribosomal RNA", at positions 57 to 590 of the family's 1533-position model. Lineage: Bacteria; Bacillati; Actinomycetota; Actinomycetes; Pseudonocardiales; Pseudonocardiaceae. The record is from RNAcentral.
GCAGUCGUACGAUGWGCCUGUCRKGUGGAUUAGUGGCGACGGGUGAGUMACACRUGGGCAUCUGCCCUGUACUUUGGGAUAAGCCUGGGAACUGGGUCUAAUACCGGAUAUCACCUUCCCUCGCAUGGGGGUUGGUUGAAAGUUCUGGCGGUACAGGAUGAGCCCGCGGCCUAUCAGCUUGUUGGUGGGGUAAUGGCCUACCAAGGCGACGACGGGUAGCCGGCCUGAGAGGGUGACCGGCCACACUGGGACUGAGACACGGCCCAGACUCCUACGGGAGGCAGCAGUGGGGAAUAUUGCACAAUGGGCGAAAGCCUGAUGCAGCGACGCCGCGUGAGGGAUGACGGCCUUCGGGUUGUAAACCUCUUUCGCCAGGGACGAAGCGCAWGUGACGGUACCUGGAUAAGAAGCACCGGCUAACUACGUGCCAGCAGCCGCGGUAAUACKUAKGGUGCGAGCGUUGUCCGGAAUUAUUGGGCGUAAAGAGCUCGUAGGCGGUUUGUCGCGUCG